Molecule: ribosomal RNA, 372 nt
Filed under: uncultured organism
Description: bacterial SSU rRNA
Rfam family: Bacterial small subunit ribosomal RNA
Source: RNAcentral
CGGAGGGGGCGAGCGUUGUUCGGAAUCAUUGGGCGUAAAGGGCGCGUAGGCGGCCUUGCAAGUCGGGUGUGAAAUCCCUCGGCUCAACCGAGGAACCGCACUCGAUACUGCCGGGCUAGAGUCCGGGAGGGGAUGGUGGAAUUCCCAGUGUAGCGGUGAAAUGCGUAGAUAUUGGGAAGAACACCGGUGGCGAAGGCGGCCAUCUGGACCGGUACUGACGCUGAGGCGCGAAAGCUAGGGGAGCGAAUGGGAUUAGAUACCCCGGUAGUCCUAGCUGUAAACGAUGGGCACUUGAUGUGGCAGGUUCUGACCCCUGCCGUGUCGAAGCUAACGCGUUAAGUGCCCCGCCUGGGGAGUACGGUCGCAAGGCUG